UACGUAGGGUGCAAGCGUUAAUCGGAAUUACUGGGCGUAAAGCGUGCGCAGGCGGUUUUGUAAGUCUGACGUGAAAUCCCCGGGCUCAACCUGGGAAUUGCGUUGGAGACUGCAAGGCUAGAAUCUGGCAGAGGGGGGUAGAAUUCCACGUGUAGCAGUGAAAUGCGUAGAUAUGUGGAGGAACACCGAUGGCGAAGGCAGCCCCCUGGGUCAAGAUUGACGCUCAUGCACGAAAGCGUGGGGAGCAACAGG
This 252-nucleotide ribosomal RNA is filed under the name uncultured bacterium. Its description in RNAcentral is "partial 16S ribosomal RNA". It matches the Rfam family "Bacterial small subunit ribosomal RNA", at positions 524 to 775 of the family's 1533-position model. The record is from RNAcentral.